Molecule: ribosomal RNA, 567 nt
Filed under: uncultured bacterium
Lineage: Bacteria
Description: bacterial SSU rRNA
Rfam family: Bacterial small subunit ribosomal RNA
Source: RNAcentral
AUGCGUAGGGGUUCUGAGAGGAAGGUCCCCCACAUUGGAACUGAGACACGGUCCAAACUCCUACGGGAGGCAGCAGUGAGGAAUAUUGGUCAAUGGCCGGAAGGCUGAACCAGCCAAGUCGCGUGAGGGAAUAAGGCCCUAUGGGUCGUAAACCUCUUUUGUCAGGGAGCAAAGGCGUCCACGUGUGGACGAGAGGAGAGUACCUGAAGAAAAAGCAUCGGCUAACUCCGUGCCAGCAGCCGCGGUAAUACGGAGGAUGCGAGCGUUAUCCGGAUUUAUUGGGUUUAAAGGGUGCGUAGGCGGAGUGUCAAGUCAGCGGUAAAAUUUCGGGGCUCAACCCCGUCGUGCCGUUGAAACUGACACCCUUGAGUGAGUGAGAAGUAAGCGGAAUGCGUGGUGUAGCGGUGAAAUGCAUAGAUAUCACGCAGAACGCCGAUUGCGAAGGCAGCUUACCGGCGCUCAACUGACGCUGAGGCACGAAAGUGCGGGUAUCGAACAGGAUUAGAUACCCUGGUAGUCCGCACAGUAAACGAUGAAUGCUAGAUGUCCGGGGCGAAUGAGCUCUGG